AUUGAACGCUGGCGGCAUGCCUAACACAUGCAAGUCGAACGGGGUGUAGCAAUACAUCUAGUGGCGGACGGGUGAGGAAUACAUAGGAAUUUGCCCUUAAGUGGGGGAUAGUCCGGGGAAACUCGGUUUAAUACCGCAUGAUCUCGUGAGAGCAAAGCAGGGGACCGCAAGGCCUUGCGCUUUUGGAGAAGCCUAUGUCGGAUUAGCUAGUUGGUAGGGUAAUGGCCUACCAAGGCGACGAUCCGUAACUGGUCUGAGAGGAUGAUCAGUCACACCGGAACUGAGACACGGUCCGGACUCCUACGGGAGGCAGCAGUGGGGAAUAUUGGACAAUGGGCGCAAGCCUGAUCCAGCAAUGCCGCGUGUGUGAAGAAGGCC
Molecule: ribosomal RNA, 378 nt
Filed under: uncultured bacterium
Lineage: Bacteria
Description: bacterial SSU rRNA
Rfam family: Bacterial small subunit ribosomal RNA
Source: RNAcentral